This 868-nucleotide ribosomal RNA is filed under the name uncultured bacterium. Its description in RNAcentral is "bacterial SSU rRNA". It matches the Rfam family "Bacterial small subunit ribosomal RNA", at positions 8 to 886 of the family's 1533-position model. The record is from RNAcentral.
AGAGUUUGAUCCUGGCUCAGGAUGAACGCUGGCGGCGUGCCUAACACAUGCAAGUCGAACGGAGUGUUGAGAGCUUGCUUUUAACACUUAGUGGCGGACGGGUGAGUAAUGUAUGAGCAACCUGCCUUUCAGAGGGGGACAACAGUUGGAAACGACUGCUAAUACCGCAUAAAGUAUUUAGGAGGCAUCUCCUGAAUACCAAAGGAGCAAUCCGCUGAAAGAUGGGCUCAUAUCUGAUUAGCUAGUUGGUGAGGUAACGGCUCACCAAGGCUGCGAUCAGUAGCCGGACUGAGAGGUUGAACGGCCACAUUGGGACUGAGAUACGGCCCAGACUCCUACGGGAGGCAGCAGUGGGGAAUAUUGGGCAAUGGGCGAAAGCCUGACCCAGCAACGCCGCGUGAAGGAAGAAGGUCUUCGGAUUGUAAACUUCUUUUAUGAGGGACGAAGGACGUGACGGUACCUCAUGAAUAAGCCACGGCUAACUACGUGCCAGCAGCCGCGGUAAUACGUAGGUGGCAAGCGUUAUCCGGAUUUACUGGGUGUAAAGGGCGCGUAGGCGGGGAUGCAAGUCAGGUGUGAAAUCUAUGGGCUUAACCCAUAAACUGCAUUUGAAACUGUAUCUCUUGAGUGCUGGAGAGGUAGAUGGAAUUCCUUGUGUAGCGGUGAAAUGCGUAGAUAUAAGGAAGAACACCAGUGGCGAAGGCGAUCUACUGGACAGUAACUGACGCUGAGGCGCGAAAGCGUGGGGAGCAAACAGGAUUAGAUACCCUGGUAGUCCACGCUGUAAACGAUGAAUACUAGGUGUGGGGGGACUGACCCCCUCCGUGCCGCAGUUAACACAAUAAGUAUUCCACCUGGGGAGUACGGC